Molecule: microRNA, 18 nt
Filed under: Corchorus capsularis
Lineage: Eukaryota; Viridiplantae; Streptophyta; Magnoliopsida; Malvales; Malvaceae
Description: sRNA CCACVL1_01566
Source: RNAcentral
UUGAACCGCUUACCUCCU